GUCAGCACAAUCCGGAACCUCCAACCCACAUGUGAUCGACUGAGGGGUGUUGAUGUCGGGGGAGACCCUCCCGUGAACCAACGGGAUAGAGUGAAAGACAAAGACCGGGAAACACGAAAGCGCCCUCUGUGGCGCUUUCGUUUU
This 144-nucleotide small RNA is filed under the name [Enterobacter] lignolyticus SCF1. Its description in RNAcentral is "Enterobacter cloacae SCF1 sraL Hfq binding RNA". It matches the Rfam family "sraL Hfq binding RNA". From Rfam's summary of the family: The SraL RNA ('sra' for small RNA), discovered in E. coli, and later in Salmonella Tiphimurium. The record is from Rfam by way of RNAcentral. Lineage: Bacteria; Pseudomonadati; Pseudomonadota; Gammaproteobacteria; Enterobacterales; Enterobacteriaceae.